Molecule: ribosomal RNA, 482 nt
Filed under: uncultured bacterium
Lineage: Bacteria
Description: partial 16S ribosomal RNA
Rfam family: Bacterial small subunit ribosomal RNA
Source: RNAcentral
GACGAACGCUGGCGGCGUGCUUAACACAUGCAAGUCGAACGAUGAAGAAGAGAAACGCGAACUUCGGUUCAAAUUUCACUUCGGAUUAGUGGCAGACGGGUGAGUAACGCGUGAGCAACCUACCUCUUACAAAGGGAUAGCCUCGGGAAACCGUGAUUAAUACCAUAUGACACAUUCAUAAGGCAUCUUAAGAAUGUUAAAGCUACGGCGGUAAGAGGUGGGCUCGCGUCCCAUUAGCUAGUUGGUGAGGUAACGGCCCACCAAGGCGACGAUGGGUAACCGGCCUGAGAGGGUGAACGGUCACAUUGGAACUGAGACACGGUCCAAACUCCUACGGGAGGCAGCAGUGGGGAAUAUUGCACAAUGGAGGGAACUCUGAUGCAGCGACGCCGCGUGAGCGAUGAAGGAAUUCGUUUCGUAAAGCUCUGUUCUAUGGGAAGAAAAGGACUGUACCAUAGGAGAAAGCCCCGGCUAAAUACGUG